This 1052-nucleotide ribosomal RNA is filed under the name uncultured bacterium. Its description in RNAcentral is "bacterial SSU rRNA". It matches the Rfam family "Bacterial small subunit ribosomal RNA", at positions 10 to 1064 of the family's 1533-position model. The record is from RNAcentral.
AGUUUGAUCCUGGCUCAGGAUGAACGCUAGCGGCAGGCCUAAUACAUGCAAGUCGAACGGGAUUGGAGAGCUUGCUUUCCAUGAGAGUGGCGUACGGGUGCGUAACGCGUAUGCAACCUACCUUCAUCAGGGGGAUAGCCCGAAGAAAUUCGGAUUAACACCGCAUAACAUUAUUGGAUGGCAUCAUUUAAUAAUCAAAUAUUUAUAGGAUGAAGAUGGGCAUGCGUGUCAUUAGCUAGUUGGUGAGGUAACGGCUCACCAAGGCGACGAUGACUAGGGGAUCUGAGAGGAUGACCCCCCACACUGGUACUGAGACACGGACCAGACUCCUACGGGAGGCAGCAGUAAGGAAUAUUGGUCAAUGGAGGCAACUCUGAACCAGCCAUGCCGCGUGCAGGAAGACUGCCUUAUGGGUUGUAAACUGCUUUUAUACGGGAAUACACCUUGAUUCGUGAAUCGAGCUGAAUGUACCGUAAGAAUAAGGAUCGGCUAACUCCGUGCCAGCAGCCGCGGUAAUACGGAGGAUCCAAGCGUUAUCCGGAUUUAUUGGGUUUAAAGGGAGCGUAGGCGGCCUAUUAAGUCAGGGGUGAAAGACGGUGGCUCAACCAUCGCAGUGCCUUUGAUACUGGUAGGCUUGAAUGUAGUUGAGGUAGGCGGAAUGUGACAAGUAGCGGUGAAAUGCAUAGAUAUGUCACAGAACACCGAUUGCGAAGGCAGCUUACUAAGCUAUGAUUGACGCUGAGGCUCGAAAGCGUGGGGAUCAAACAGGAUUAGAUACCCUGGUAGUCCACGCCCUAAACGAUGAUAACUCGAUGUUGGCGAUAUACAGUCAGCGUCCAAGCGAAAGCGUUAAGUUAUCCACCUGGGGAGUACGCCCGCAAGGGUGAAACUCAAAGGAAUUGACGGGGGCCCGCACAAGCGGAGGAGCAUGUGGUUUAAUUCGAUGAUACGCGAGGAACCUUACCCGGGCUUGAAAGUUACUGAAGAAUUUAGAGAUAGAUUCGUCCUUCGGGACAGGAAACUAGGUGCUGCAUGGCUGUCGUCAGCUCGUG